This 238-nucleotide ribosomal RNA is filed under the name uncultured bacterium. Its description in RNAcentral is "partial 16S ribosomal RNA". It matches the Rfam family "Bacterial small subunit ribosomal RNA", at positions 100 to 334 of the family's 1533-position model. The record is from RNAcentral.
CGGGACGGGUGCGUAAUGUCUGGGGAAACUGCCUGAUGGAGGGGGAUAACUACUGGAAACGGUAGCUAAUACCGCAUAACGUCGCAAGACCAAAGUAAGGGGGGACCUUCGGGCCUCUUGCCAUCGGAUGUGCCCCAGAUGGGAUUAGCUAGUAGGUGGGGUAACGGCUCACCUAGGCGACGAUCCCUAGCUGGUCUGAGAGGAUGACCAGCCACACUGGAACUGAGACACGGUCCAG